ACUAACAACCGAAGAAUAACAAGAGUUUAUCUAUAGGUCAAUCACUAGAUAAUGUAUCUGUAUAAUAUACAAGCUCUGUGACUUGAUUCUCUAUAUAUAAUAAUAUAUCAUUUGCACAAUGUACGUGUAGUGCAGUGAAUUGAGCAUGCAAACACUAUGUUAUUUCUUUAUUUUAUCAUGGUAUCAAAAGUCUAUUGACCCACGUCUGAUCCUAUGGCCUCUCAAUCACCUCUAGUUUUGUCUUCUUCUUCUACCCCCCAUAAUCCUCCCAUGUUUCUUCUUCAAAAUCUACCCCCAUUAUCUCCACCGACAAUUUCUCUCACUUUCUUUUUCUUAAACUGACCAAAGACAAUUACUUACUUUGAAAGGCCUAACCAUGCCCAUAUUUACGGAGACAACAACUCUUCGGCUAUGUCGAUGAACGAGUAUCACAAGGAAGUAACUGUCUGUUUUCUAUCAAGGAUCAGCUCGCUGAUAUACUUACAAAACCACUUGGCUUAGCAUGAUUUGUUUCUUUGUGAGACAAGCUUCAUGUGGUGGAUCCAUAGUUCAGCUUGAGGGGGUGAGUAAACGAUAAACACAAGCAGGCCAAAGAUAAGAUUGAAGAUCUAGAGACAUAGAGUUUAUCUUUAGUUCAAUCACUAGAUAAUGUAUUUGUAUAAUAUACAAACUCUAUGACUUGAUUCUCUAUAUAUAAUAAUAUAUCCUCUGCACAAUGUGCAGUGUGGUGAAUUAAGCCUA
Carya illinoinensis is the source of this 741-nucleotide long non-coding RNA. RefSeq lists it as uncharacterized. The record is from RefSeq and is a predicted model, not a curated record. The transcript has 2 exons. Lineage: Eukaryota; Viridiplantae; Streptophyta; Magnoliopsida; Fagales; Juglandaceae.